UUCUUGGUCAUUUAAGAGAAGUAAAAGUCGUAACAAGGUUUCCGUAGGUGAACCUGCGGAAGGAUCAUUACCGAAUCGUUGACACGAGUUGUUGCUGGUCUCUCGAAAGGGGGGCACGUGCACGCUCUGUCUACACAUCCACUCACACCUGUGCACCUUCUGUAGUUCUAUGGGUUUGGGAGGCCUCGCCUUUCCUCCGUAGUUCUAUUUUUUCACACACACGCUGUAAUAAAGUUUUAUGGAAUGUAUCUUGCGUUUAACGCAGUAAAGUACAACUUUCAGCAACGGAUCUCUUGGCUCUCGCAUCGAUGAAGAACGCAGCGAAAUGCGAUAAGUAAUGUGAAUUGCAGAAUUCAGUGAAUCAUCGAAUCUUUGAACGCACCUUGCGCCCUUUGGCUAUUCCGAAGGGCAUGCCUGUUUGAGUAUCAUGAACACCUCAACUCUCAUGGUUUUCCAUGCUGAGCUUGGACUUUGGGGGUUUUGCUGGCCUUUUUCCAGCUCCUCUCAAACGAAUCAGCUUUCCAGCGAUUGGUGGCAUCACGGGUGUGAUAAAUAUCUACGCUUGUGAGUGUCUGCCAAGCAAUCUCCAGCGAUGGAGGUUCGCUGGGGCUCCCAAAUGUCUCUCCUUUGCGAAGACAGCUUCUUUGAAUGUUUGAUCUCAAAUCAGGUAGGACUACCCGCUGAACUUAAGCAUAUCAAUAAGCCGGAGGAAAAAGAAACUUACAAGGGAUCCCCCUAGUAACUGGCGAGUGA
RNAcentral lists this ribosomal RNA (753 nucleotides) under uncultured Tomentella. RNAcentral describes it as "eukaryotic LSU rRNA". The stretch from base 274 to 428 matches the Rfam family "5.8S ribosomal RNA". The record is from RNAcentral. Lineage: Eukaryota; Fungi; Basidiomycota; Agaricomycetes; Thelephorales; Thelephoraceae.